Molecule: ribosomal RNA, 177 nt
Filed under: uncultured bacterium
Lineage: Bacteria
Description: partial 16S ribosomal RNA
Rfam family: Bacterial small subunit ribosomal RNA
Source: RNAcentral
ACUCCUACGGGAGGCAGCAGUGAGGAAUUUUCUGCAAUGGGCGAAAGCCUGACAGAGCGAUACCGCGUGAGGGAUGAAGACUUACUGAGUUGUAAACCUCGGUACCUUAAGGAAGAAGAUAUGACGGUACUUAAGGUGGAAAGCAUCGGCUAACUCCGUGCCAGCAGCCGCGGUAAU